CCGGCGACGAGAGACAUGUAGGAAGUGAACCUGAAGCCGGACACAUUCAGGGUCUGGGAACCGAAAAUAAUAGGAAUUGUUCUGAUUUUUCCAAUGGAAUCGAGCAAGAGACAGGGCCCGCCUCUUUGCAGAACCAAGGAUUCCUAUGCUUUACCCUUUCUUAUGAGAAGGGCGAGAAGAGGAAAAAUAAUGACAAAGAGAGAUGAGAACAAACAAAGGUUAAAUGAACGGUGGGCAGCUGAUCCCUCCGGAGCUGGCCAAUGUCACCGACCAGUGUUGGGAAAAGAGUGGCAUUAAAAUGAAGCAUGAUCACACCCGACCAGUGCUUCCUGUUCACAGCCUUUCCUUUGUUCCAUCAAUAUCAUUCAGCAGAUCAUAUUGAGAAUAAAUUAUUAUAAUGGUGGCUAAUGUGUAUUGAGGGUCCAUGCCAAGUACGCUGAUCUCUUGAUGUGCACUGUGUUAUUCAAUAUUCACAAUAGCCUGAGAAAGUAGCUAUCGUGAUCAUGCCCAUUUCACAGAUGAGCAAAGUCACUGAGUGAAAGUCACUGACAUUCUUCCUUCAGAACACAGUGAACCCUAACCAAAUAAAUGUUAACUCUGGGCUUUUCGAAGGCCAGACUCCAUCACUUUUGUGAUAAAUUCUGGCUCGUGUUUACUCCCCAUGUCUCCUCCCAUCCUCCUACCCACGCCUCACUCAGCUCCAAUUCUGAAGUGUCCCAAUAUGUGGUUCAUAAAUGACCUUCCCUCCAUAACUAUAUCCCUUACACGUCCAUCAGGAAAAUACAGUCACCGCACGCCUGGGCCCUGGGUCACCCUAACAGAGAUCUGACAUGGCUGAGGCCAAGGGGCCCUCUUGGCCUCCUCUGGUGAGACUGUGGCAUGCUGGCCUGGCUGUGUGACAUGGUAGCCUAGCCAAGAGAGCAAGAGGCUGGCCUGCUGAGAAGGGGUUCACAUUAGGAACCAUUUAUAAAAAAAAAAAAAAAAAGUGGAAUGAAACAUAUUUGACCUGGGAAGAAAUAGAAGACCUCUCAAGUUGCCAAAGUGACGAAUUAGACAGGGAGGCAGAGCAAAUGUGAACUCCUGGGGAGUCCGUCAGAGGAGCCCAGAUGGAAUAGACCAGGCCGACGUGGUGGGAGGAACGGAGGCAGGAUGAUUUAUCCAGGUUGGAUUGGGAGACCCGUCAGAGCACUCCACAGAGCUAGACACAGUCCACCCUUUGUACCCUAUUUCUCUAACUCGUCAAUUUUAUAGCCACAUUACCUUCCGAGUGGGCAGGAAAGCAGAUAUUGGUGCCAUCACAGGCCUGGCUGUGGUUUGCACAGCAUAAUGACAGAUGCCAAAAACAAAGGGGAGGGGAGAGGGCACUUGAGAGACCACAAAAGAGCCUUUAUAAUUAUGCCUCUUCCUCCUUCGGGAGCCUGCCUCUCUCUCUCGCUCGCUCUCGCUCUCGCUCUCCCUCUCCCUCCCCGCGGAGGUGCCAGGCUGGCUGCAGCGGUGCUGUCCUCCCGGAUGCGGAUGCGCGCUGGGCAGCUGCCUAGCACGCGUCUAUUAAUAACCGUGCAUGGACUUGAAGGCAGCUAUUCCGUCCCGCCUCUCUUCUCCAGGCUAAAGAGCGGCAAUCCCUUUAACCUUUCUUCAUGGGCCCGAUUUUCCAUCCCUUUAAUCAUCCCUGUCACUUUCUGCUGGAUGGCCUCCACUCUCACCACAUCCCUCCCCGGGGUGGAGACUCCGAGCGAGCUGGGAUAAUGGGCCUCCCGCCUCAAGAGCUGUUCCUUUCCCACCGCACUGCAGCCCCCCAGGCUGAGUUACUGCCCUUCAGGACACAACUGGAGCGCGGCCCGCCCCGUGUGGAUGUUCCCCUCGACCAGAAAGUCACUAACAUCCAACCGUCUGCUCGGAGGGGAUUCCCACUGUUCACUGCCCCACCCCGCCGCCUAUCCUGUGGACCCUGAGAACAGCCCCCCAGCCACAUUCCCUGUGGCCACUUGCACCCCCACCCCACCCCGCCAAAACAGUAAAAAAACAGCUUUAGAAACAACUUUUAAAAUCAAAUGUCAUUUUUAUCACGUCCCUCCUCUACCCAAGAGCCCUUAGUAGCUAGCUCACUGUUGCUUUCUGAUUCAGUGAAUGGAAACAUUUGCCAGAUUCUGGGUCCAGAUUCCUCUCCCCACCCCCCCUCUGCCUAUAUCCAGAUCCUCAUUCAAAAAGAUUUCCCUAGUUAAUUUUCUCAUUCUGGCUACACCUUUACCAGCCACCCCCAUCCCCACAAUGUCUUGUUAGAUACUGUUUUGGGUGGGCUAAAUUAUAUGUAUAUAUAUACAAAUUUACAUACAUACAUAUUCACAUGCAUACAUAUUUACAUACACACACAUAUAUGUAUAUAGAAUAUAUGUAAUUUUAUUUAUUAUUAUUAUCUAUAAUACAUAUGGAUUAGGCUUCUUUGACAGGAAACAAACUCUUACAGGUUUAAGGAACAGAAAGGGCUAGAUUGGUAAUUAAAGGCAUAGUUCACAGAAUUAAAGAUGGGGUUGAACCACAGGCCUAGGAAAGGGCAGAACAGGGCAGCUCUGAGGUCUUUCUAGAAGACCGUCAUCAGGUAAUCAGCUCCAACUCUUUUCCAUCCUUACUUAACUUUGCUUAACAUUCAGAGUUUCAGGACCUAGAAUUUACAAAAGAUUGUGAGGGGGUGGGGAAUCCUGUGAUUGGCCACACACCCCCUUUCCCCCCCCCCCCAAAAACACACAGGGUGGGGGAGAGUUGCCAGGUUUAGCAAGUAGAAAUGUAAAAUGCCCAGCUCAGGGCUCCUGGGUGGCUUGGCUGGUUAAGCUUCUGGACUUCGGCUCAGAUCCUGAUCUCAUGGGUCUGUGAGUUCGAGCCCCACGUCGGGCUCUGGGCUGACAGCUCAGAGCCUGGAGCCUGCUUCGGAUUCUGUGUCUCCCUCUCUCUCUCUGCUCCUCCCCUGCUCGCUCACUCUCUCUCUCUCUCUCUCUCUCUCUCAAAAAAAUGAAAUAAACAUUAAAAAUAUUAAAAUGCCCAGCUUGAUUUGAAUUCCAGAUAAACAAGGCCUAAUUGUCAUAAAUCUAUGCCAAGCAGUACUUCCUGAGUUUGUCUUCCCAUUCUUGCCCUCCCCCAGUCCUACUCCACAGCCCCUAGGUGGGCGUUCCCUCAGACCAGGGCCUGCAUCCCCUCUAACUGCCACAAUACCUGGCGGUACCUCACACCUAACAAAUUUCUUUCGUCCAUCCUCAAGGUGACUGUGGCUGUUAGUUCUUUCUCUUUAAUUUUAAUAACCCAGCUUACCUCACCUCAAAACUACAUAUUAACUGACACAGAUAAAAAGGCUAAUGUGCCCUUGGCAAUCAUUAUUAUUUAUUUCCUCUUUACCUCUCUUGAGGAAAACCCAACUUUCUUUGCCUUCUCUCUUUUGCCGAAUACUUUGAAAAUAGCCCUGGCGACACUGAGCAUCUGUAUAACUUUUUACAGCUUAACGUGCAUUUACACAUUCAUCGUUUUAUUCAGCGUCAUAAAUUAGCAUAAUUAGUGACUUAAGUGGUCAGUUGGCACGGGUAAUACGGUCUCCCAUUUCGUGGAUGAGAAAUUAAAACUUUGAAAGGGAGAUUAUAAAAACUAGUGUGGAUACAAAGUUGUUUGUUCCAAAGCUUAGAACGAUGUGGAUGAGUUCUUUCCUCUACAUCGGGGGUUAGCAAACUUUGUCUGUAAAGGAGACACAGUAAAUAUGUCAAGCUUUGUACACCAUAUGAACUCUGUCACAACUACUCAAGUCUGCCACUGUAACACGAACGCAGCCAUAGUUAAUACAUAAAUGAAUGGAUGUAUGUUCCAAUAAACUGUAUUCACGGAAAAGGUCACCGGCCAUAUGUAGCCCACAAGCUGUAUUUGCUAACUAUCCUCUCCUCUGCACAACACAGUAAGUGAGCACUCUUUAAUCUUUAUGAAUCUAUCAAAGUUUGCCUCCCGUUGGGAUGCCAUGAUUUUGAUCUGUUCAAUAUUAGAUCAUUCUACUACUUUUCUCUCUCCUUACCUCUUACGUGUCAGUAUUGUUUGGACAAUAACUGACUUGACUUCCCACAACCCCCUGAUCUCUCUCCUCCACCGUGGCAAAGUUUUCUCUUGCGCUAUGAACAUGCCCCGUUAAGCUCAUCCUUCCUCCCCUGGAUCCUUCUUUACCUGCGUGUGAGAUCAGUUCUGACAGGCCUUGUGAGGAGGCACCUUUCUGAGACAGAGCUUCCCCCGAGGCCCCCAGGAUCAACCAGGAUAAAUCUGCCACCCCGCUUCCCCUCACUCUGGGUUUCGUGGGCCUCAUCCUUUGGGCCUUUUCCAAGUUUGUCCCCAGAAAACUCAUGUACUGGAAAGGUAAGUUCACUGUCAGGUUUGCCUACAGCCCUCUUCAGCUCUGGUCCACGGAAGACAGAGACUAUUCAGUCCAUCUUCUGCCAGCAGAGUGGGAAGACUGGCUUAAAUGCUCCUUCCAGGGAGAGCAGGAACUCCCUACAGCACACCAGCUAGUUUGGUUUAUACCCUUCACUGUUGAUAGAUCUGGGACAGUGAGGGGUGGGAACUGUGUGUAAACAGCAUUCUCCUGGGCUUAGGUGACUGGGGUUGCAAAUCCUCAGGCAUGGUGAUUGACCACCUGGACCAGAUUCUACAUUGUAGGAACCAGUGGGAAGUGACUGGUACCUCACUAAGGUCGUCCAGGUCUUUAAGUGGGUUUCUAGACGCAUGUGUGUGUACACACCGGGCAUAAAGUCGAAAAAGAUUCUAGAGAUCAUGUUACUCAAACCCCUCAUUUACGAAUAAGGAAACCAAAAUCCCUGAGAAAUCACCUCAGUCUAUCGUGAUGGCAAGAGAUAAGGAUCCACAUCGUCUUUACAAAUCAUAUCCAUAAAGAUGGUGAUGAACUCGAUCAAUGAAACUAAAAUUUAUAACCAUAAAGCUUUCCUUGAAGGUCAGUACAUUUUAUUUUAAAUGUGAAGCAGAAAACAUGCUCAGCCAAGCACACCCAAAAAAACUAUGAUGACAGCAACUUUUUCAGAAGUAAUUGAGAUUUGGCCUCUCAAAGCUUCCGUGUGUUCCGAAGGUGGGGUUCCCUGGGAACACCAACGAUCCCCUCCAACUUUCUUCAUAAAAUCUCCAAAAGGGUCAAGAGAGGCCACAAAGAGUAGAGAGUUCAAGUAACGCUUGGGAUCUGAAUGCCCUGAUUCCACCAUUUAGAAGCUGUGUAACCUUGAGCAGAUAACUUAUUUUUCUAAACCUCGUUUCUCAUCUGUAAAAGAAGGGUAAUAUUAGUACUUAUCUUGAAGAGGUGACGUAAUAAUCAAAUGAGAUAAUGUAUACAGAGUGUCUGAUAUAGUCUGACUUAAUAGUAACCAUUCAACAUUCACUAUUGUUCUAACAUUGACAGUCUUAGGCUUUUUGCUUAAAGCCCAACUCUAAUUUUGAGUUGACCACUCUGUCUACUUUUUAUACUGUGAAACAGGGAUAGUAAUUUAGCAGGAGAGUGGGAUAAUUACAAGUUAGUUAUGACCUGGGGAAACAGAUCUGGCUCCUUGCCCAGACUACAAUCUGGCCUGAAUGACCUCCAGGCUAAGAGACGAGGUACUGUCCUGAGCUGAGUCCCCUCGGAGGGCAUGGCCUCCAAGCCAGGACUCAGGACCCCUGGAAGAAGUAAGGCAGAAGUUCAGAGAAUUAGGGACAUGUGAAAAAGGCUAAUGCACAGUUUUCUUGGCGGAUUAUCUUUCUGGCAUUACGAUUUUUGAGUUAAAUUUUGUCCGCCUUUGAAAGUCCCGCAAGGUGAGGGCAAGGGAAUUCCUUGGAAUUCCAGGGAAUUCCUAUAACAAAAAGACAAAAGGGGUCAAGAUAGCUCCCUGAUAAGGGUCAUACCUCAGGGAUACCUCAGGAGACCAGACUGUAGUAUUUGCAGCAUCUCCAAACCAUUAAAAAGAAAUAAAGAAAGACAAAGAAAAAAAAGACUCCCUACAGCUUCAUCUUCUGGUGAUGGAAGAAAUGUGCUAGACAAAACAACUCUUUCUCCUUUUCCCUGGGUUACUUGGUAGCAGCAGAAAACACUUGACCAAAAGUUCCAGGAGGGCUUGAUAUCGGCUUUGAAAAGUACAAAUUCCCACAACAAUCAGGGACUAAAGUAGCAAUAUUUUAGCCUUUCACAGGAAUCUGGUUAUUAUUACCAUUAAUGCCAAGUAUCUUGUUUCUAUUCUUUUUGAUUUAAGGUAAUUUUCUUUGUAAAAGGCCCGCUUUGUUAAGCUCUCCACGAUUAUGUUGGCUUUGGGAGAAAAAGAACUAGGCAUGGGAGGAAAGUAUCGUGUUGUACCGAAACUUUAGAGGACCUGGUUGUGAAGAGCCCCUCUGUUUUGGCUCUGAAACUGAUGCGGUUCUCCAGUCUUCGUUUUCUAAUUCAGGGCGCUAAUUUAAGCAUCGUCCACUCUGAUGGUGAUGUCUUUACUUGGACAUGACAGUUUCCAAGGAAGGUCUCCAGAAGACUGCACCUACCUGGUCAGGCCUGGCGAUGAUGCCAGAAGAGACCCAAGUCAAUGUUCACAUCUAGAAAGAGACCCCAUGACUCAGGGUCCAUCUUGUAGACAAUGAAGAAGGACAGAUAUUAAAAAGUGAAAUAUUGGGGCCCCUGGGUGGCUCAGUCAGUUAAGCGUCUGACUCUUGAUUUCAGCUCAGGUCAUGAGCUCAUGGUUCGUGAGUCCGAGCCCCAUGUCUGCACUCUUAGUGCAGAGCCUGCUUGGGGUUCUCUCUCUCCCUCUCUCUCUGUGCUCCACAACCCCCCCCCCCCAACCAAACAUUUGCAUGCUUGCUCUCUCUCUCAAAAUAAAUAAAUAAAGUUGUUGGUUUUUUUUUUUUUUAAGUGAAAUAUCUAGCUCAGUGGUUUUCAACUGGGGGCAAUUUUGCCCCCCCCCCCAGGGGACAUUCAACAAUGUAUGAAGACAUUUAUGGUUAUCAAAACUUUGGGGGAUGGGUGGGUCCUACUGGCAUCUAGUGGGUAGAAGCCAGAGACGCUGCUAAACAUCUUACGAAACACAGGAUGGGACCGCUGGCAAAGGCUUCUCCAGCCCCAAAUGUCAAUAGUGCUGAGGCUGAGGAAUGCUGAGACAGAGACACAGAGAGCCCUGCAUGGGCUGGGCCCUGCCCACCUCCCUCUCCAUAUUUUGCCCCAUUCCCACCCACUCCCUUAACUCCAGCCACACAAACAAACUUCCAGUUCUUGACUGCACUGUGUUCCCUCAGCACAUUCUGAUCCCUCUGCCUGCCAGGACCUACCCUCUCAUCCCCCAGAUUUCACCCAAUAGAUACCUUCUUGGGAAGCCCUGUGAGCAAGACUAAGUCAAGUCCCCCAUUCCUUGCUCUCUCCUCUUUACUCUUUUUUUUUCCAAGGGUUUUCAAAGCAUCUUCAUGGCUUUUUCAGAACUCUCCAAGCUCCCUGCCUCUUGGCUGCUAAGCUCAUGGGUUACCAGCACCAACUGCAGCCGAAUAGCUAGUGUUGGAGUCCCCACUCGGGCGUAUUCUGGUUGUGGGACCUUGGACAAAUCAUCUGACUUCUCUGUGUCAGUUUUCUUACCUCCAACAUGAAGGUAAUAACUGUAGCUAGCCUCUAGGGAAGCCGUGAGGAUUAAAUGAGAGAUUAGAACAGUCAGGCCCAUCGUGAGUAUCACAUAGAAGUUCACUAUAAUUAUUAUUUCAGGAAUUAAAACUGCUCUUCUGAGAUGUUGAGCUCCAUGAUAAGAAAGAUACACAGUAUUUUCUCUUCCCAGCAGCAUGGCCCUCAUGCUGUCUUUUCUCUACCAGAGAAAUCAAAGCUCAAAUCAUUUAAGGCAGGGGAGUCAAAAUCAAUGCCUCGUGUUUACAGAUAAAGAAAUGGAGACCCAGAGAGGUUAAGGGACUUGGAAAAAUCACAUGGCAGAUUCCUUUCUACCUGAUCAAUCUCUCUCUCUCUCUCUCUCUCCCCCCACCCUCAGUCUUUCCCUCCCUACCUCCCACAACCAUCUCUCCUCCCCAGCCCCCUUUUGAGGCGAUAACUGGUACAAUUCCUGAUCUACACUAAACGAAUAUCCCAUAGCAACUAUCUCCGUCUGAAUACAGGUCCCUGCUCCCCAGCCUUUCUACAAAAGACCUGGGGGUUAUAAAAAUCCAAGCUUAUCAGAACAAAGCACACCAAACAGAACACAGUAAGGUUUCCAACUAGAGAUUUAAGGUGCUUAUACAACAGCCUAAAAGAGAAAAUCUAGACCUGACAAAAAAAAAAAGUAGACCAAAGGCAAAUAAUAACCUAAAUAAAUUAAGAAAACACUGAGGCAGUCUCCAGAAGUUUUUUUGCCAUUACGUCACUGAUCCUGAGACAGGGCUGUGGAAUGUCUCCCCAGGCUUUUACGGGCAGGGCCACAUCUCAUUUGUUUGAACUCCCUCAAAGCCUAUUUGACUCUUUGACACCCUCCCAGCCUCUUGUGACUGUUCUUAUUCUUUUUCCAGUCCCUACAGGUUUCUGUAAGCUCGCUUUUUGCCAACACCGGGGUGUUUUAGCCCAAAUUGAUGCUGAGAUCAAUUGGAGAGGAGUGUGGUGAUCUCACUCAUGGAGAGGAGUGAGAUCUCAUGGAGAUCUCAUGGAGAGGAGUAUGGUGUCCACACUGUGGAAUGACAAUGGCCUCUGACCUCUUGGUCUGGCCACACCUGAGGAACCCAGCUCUGUCAGGGGUCCUACUCUUUCAGAAGGACAUGAACAAACUGGAACAGCACGAAAGAAAAACAAUUAAGAUAAGACACUUCAUCAUGUGAAGGACAAGAGGGCAGAGAAGACUUAGGAAGGGGCAUAAGAGCUUAGGCAAACUGAAGGGCAUUUCAGAAUGAACUAAUGUGAACUUCUGAUUCCUCUACCAAUCCAUAAAAAUACUAGUAAAAUAUAGCAAAAAAAUUUUAUAAAUAUAGCUAAGCUCAUAAAUAUAAAGUAAAAUCUCUACGUACCAGGAAAGGCAAAAAGACAAAUAGAGGAAAGGAAGGGAAGGGAAGGGAAGGGAAGGGAAGGGAAGGGAAGNNNNNNNNNNNNNNNNNNNNNNNNNNNNNNNNNNNNNNNNNNNNNNNNNNNNNNNNNNNNNNNNNNNNNNNNNNNNNNNNNNNNNNNNNNNNNNNNNNNNNNNNNNNNNNNNNNNNNNNNNNNNNNNNNNNNNNNNNNNNAGGAGGGGGAGGGGAGGGGGAAGCAAGGGAGAGGAGGGGAGGGGAGGAGAGAGGGGGGGAAAGGAGGGGAAGGAGGAACUUACAGUCAGAGUGGCAAGCUUCAGCUGAUGCCUCAGUGGUCCAGGAAAAUAUUGGCCCAAAUAUAGGCCCCAUAUGGCUAGAGGUUGGGGUUUUAGCACACACAAAAGAACAAAAUCUUCUAGAUUUUGAGAAUCUAGAAGAAUGAAGUAGAGCCCCAGGAGGAUAGUUGCUUCCUUGAGGCAUUACUGCCAGGCCCAGAGAAACCCCAAUGAUGUGUGCCUCUUUCCAGACUUGCAAGUAGAGAAACAAAAUUACCCCAAAGAAACAAAUCGUCAAAUCAGCACCAAACAUAAGCGUGUUCUCUAAAUUGAUACUCUUUACUGGUAGAUUAGUCAAGGUUCCCCAGAGAAACAAAAAUAAUAGGAUGUGUAUAUCCAGAGAGAUUGGUUUAUUUUAAGGAAUUCGCUCAGGGAACUGUAAGGAUGCACAAAUCUGAAAUUUGCAGGGCAGGCCAACAGGCUAGAGGCCCAGGGAAAUGUUUACAGAGCGGCUUGAGGCUAAGGCAGUCUGGAAGCAGAAUUUCUUCUUCCUCAGAGGACUUCAGUUUUUGUUUGUUUGUUUGUUUGUUUGUUUUUUCUCCUAAGGCCUUCAACUGAUUGGGUGAGGCCCACUCACAUUAUGGAGAGUAAUCUGCUUAACUCAAAGUCUACUUUAUUUUAAUGUUAAUCUCACUUAAAAAUCACCGCAACAUUUAGACUGCUAUUUGAGGAAAAACUGGGUACUAUGGCCUAGCCAAGUUGGCACGUAAAAUUUGGUAUGUGAAUUGCAAACCAGAAAGUUUAUAAAAGAAAUUGGUCCUGGACUGCUCCCUGGAGUAGAACAAUGGAAAAGUCCGCAGAGACUCCUCCUUGUUCCAAAGGGAAAACAACAGCUAAAGAUGUACUCACAACCAAAAAUUAUAAACCACCAUAAGGAAGACUGGAUUAUCACCUCAAGAAUUUAAAAGAAAAGAACAGGGGUGUUUGGGUGGCUCAGUCAGUUAAGCAUCCGACUUCAGCUCAGGUCAUGAUCUCAUAGCUUGAGCCCUGUGUUGAGCUCUGUGCUGACAGCUCAGCCUGGAGCCUGCUUCAAAUUCUGUGUCUUCCUCUCUCUGCCCCUCCCCCACUCGUUCUCUCUCUCUCUCUCUCUCUCUCUCUCUCUCUCUCAAAUAAAAAAAAUUAAAAAAUUUUUAAAAAUAAAAUAACAAUUGGAAAGAAACCAUAACAUGUUUAAAAUGUUAAAGAAAAGGGGCGCCUGGGUGGCGCAGUCGGUUAAGCGUCCGACUUCAGCCAGGUCACGAUCUCGCGGUCCGUGAGUUCGAGCCCCGCGAGUUCGAGCCCCGCGUCAGGCUCUGGGCUGAUGGCUCAGAGCCUGGAGCCUGUUUCCCAUUCUGUGUCUCCCUCUCUCUCUGCCCCUCCCCCGUUCAUGCUCUGUCUCUCUCUGUCCCAAAAAUAAAUAAAAACGUUGAAAAAAAAAAUUUAAAAUGUUAAAGAAAAGAAUGACUAGAAACCAUAAGGAACAUUAAACACUGUUUUUAAAAAAAGGAACUAGAAACAAGAACUUCUAGAAAUAAAAGGUAAGGAAGGAUUGAGUAAACCACGUAUUAGACAAAAGGGAAGAGAGACUCAAUCAAGAAAGGGAUCUUAGAAAAUUAUCCAUAUCGCCUCAUUAACAUAACAAAAGACCGGUUCCCCGCUCUCAUUACUUAGGAAAGUCCAUGGGUUUUAGGAGCUCUGUGCCAAAAAUGGGGACAAAAACCAAAUAUAUACUUCUUCUUAUAAAUCCCAUAUCACAGCAGCCAACUGCAAUCCUAAAUUACACACAUGUUAAAAGUUUAAGGAUAACCACUAAAAGAAAAGAAUCUGAAUGUAUAUAUCUUUUAAAACAGCAAAAGAGGAAAAGGGAAAGUAAGAAAACUCAGUCAAUAUAAUCGAAGGCAGAAAAGAAGUGUUAAAAACAGGACAACAGGCCCAAAAUGGAGAUGCUUAUGCCAAGCCCCACAUCACCAGACCAAGACUCAAUUACAGUUUCAGCUCUCCCAGAAACAGAAUCUUAAACUGCUCAAUGAGGAAUCAUCUGAUCAGCACUAAUUAAGUAAUCUGCCUGAUAGAUCCCUGCCCUCCACUAAAAGAAAGUAACUUGGCAAUAAGUAACCAACCCACUUUCUUGCCUAGUAUAACUUCCUUAUCCCCAUUCCCUCUGACUACAGUUCCUCAGAGCUCCUUUGUAUGUGCUAGGUUGGAUGCUGCCUGGCUUGUAUAGGUUUUGCUCAAAUAAAUUCAUAACAUUGUUAAUAUGCUUCAGCUUAUCUUUUAACUUAAAUAGACAAAGAAACUAAUUGAUUAUAUAUCAAUAUAUAAUACCAGUAAUAAGUGGAUUCCAAUAAUGAACAUAAGUGACAAGGAUUCAAACCACUGAUUAAGAUAUAGAAAUGCUAAGAUUAAAUAUGAAAUUCAGGGGGCGCCUGGGUGGCGCAGUCGGUUGGGCGUCCGACUUCAGCCAGGUCACGAUCUCGCGGUCCGGGAGUUCGAGCCCCGCGUCGGGCUCUGGGCUGAUGGCUCAGAGCCUGGAGCCUGUUUCUGAUUCCGUGUCUCCCUCUCUCUCUGCCCCUCCCCUGUUCAUGCUCUGUCUCUCUCUCUGUCCCAAAAAUAAAUAAACGUUUAAAAAAAAAAAAUAUGAAAUUCAGCUUUUUGCUUUUUCUGGUAGACACACAGCUUUUUGCUUUUUCUGUGUUUCUUCUAGAACACAGAAAGAUUGAAAGCAAUGAGAUUGGGGGAAAAAAUCCACCUAGGAAUCAUUCUCCAAAAGAAUGAGUGAUGAAGCAAUAUUAAAGUCAGAAAACAUAAAGGAGAUGAUUACAAAAUAAGAAAGGAAAGUUCUGGGGUGGUUGGGUGGCUUAGUCGGUUAAACACUGGACUUAGGUCAGGUCAUGAUCUUGCAAUUCGUAAGUUGGAGUCCCACGUCAGGCUCUCUGCUGUUGGCACAGAUCCCUUGCCUCCCUCUUUCUCUGUCCCUCCCCCUCUUGUUCUCUCUCUUUCUUUCCCUCUCUCUCUUAAAAUAAAUAAAUAAACUUAAAAAAAAAAAAAAAAGGAAGAAUUCUCCAGGAAAAUACAACAGUUUUAAACUUGGAUAUACCUAAUCACAUAGCCUAAAAAUGGAAGGAAGGAAUGAAGGAACCAACGAAGGAAGGGGGGGAAAGAGGAAAGAAGGGAGGGAGGGAGGGAAGAAGGAAGGAGGGGAGAAAGAAAGAAAGAGUUGCCAAAUCCACCGUCAUAGUGAGACAUUUUAUCCAAAAACAGGCUGAGACAAAUGAGUGAAAGUUACAGAAAGGAAGGACAUUGACUCAACCUACACAGGAGUUUUUUUUGAUUUUCAGAGAUGUCCAAAAUUGAAAUGGGCUGCCCUGGGAGGGAGAGCUCCAAAAACAUGGAGGUUUGGCAGAAUCUGCAUGACAGUGAACGAAGCUAUUGGUGGAAUUUGCCAGCGUCAGUUGCCUCAUGAGGGUAGAAACCGUGUCUGUUUUGCUCACUGCUAUAUACCCAAUGACUACAGCAAAGCUUGGCAGAGAAGAGGCACCAGUAGAGGUCUACUAAACGAAUGAAUGAUCUAGAUAAGACAAUGGAUCAAAUAACCUCUAGAGUGGUUUCCAAUGCUAAGAUUCAGUGAUUCGUACAUACCCGUUUCUCUGUUCUUUGCCCCAACUGCACUCUGAGGCCCAGGGUCACCCCAACCCAGGAGACUUGAGGCUGGCCCUGAGAGGCAAGGGCGGGUGAGGAAUGGACAGAAGAGUAACACAGAAGCCCAGAGAAUGGAAGCCAGCUCUGCAAAGAGCUUCCAAGAGUCUUCCUGCCACAGAAAUUCCACUUGGCCACAGUAAUUGCCCUGGCCCUGGGCCUGGAGGAAGGCGGCGGCUGGCCUGCCCAGGGCAGGGCCUUCCAGUCAGCACAUCUUGUCUGUGCUGCUGACAAGGGUGAAAAAGCAAGACAGUGAGUAGGUCACUGGGUCGGUCAGUUCCAUAAAGCCAACCUCUCCCGCACACUACGUUCUGGGACACACAGAAGGAAGGGGAUGAGGUCCCCAGGUGUGAUGAUAUUCAGAGGUGGGGACUCUGAGGGUGAUCAGGUCAUGAGGGUGGGAACCUCACGAAUGGGUUAGUGCCCUUGUAAAAGAGAUCUCAGAGGGCCCCCUUGCCCCUUCCACAGAAGACAGCCACCUAUGAGAGAGGAAAUGGGCCCUCACCGGGCACCAAACCCUCCAGCACCUUGAUCUUGGACUCCCAGCUCUGAAACUGUGAGAAAUACCUAUCUGUUGUUUCUAAGCCCCCCUGUUCAUGGUACUUCGCAAUAGCAGCCAGAAUAGAGUAAGACAGAGCCACUCGAAUGAAUGCUACGUGGAGUCCCUCUCUUCAGGAAGAAAAUCAAAUCUAAUGGAGGACACAUGGCCUCAGCCCCAGUCAGAGCCUGCUGUAUCUCUUGCCCCACCACUCAUGCAAGACCAGAAAAUGGCAGGCCCAGGGACGGGCCCAUUUCUGCGAUGAAUGGAGACUGUGAGUGUGUGGUGCCUACAGACUCUCAGGGGACGUUCCCUCAGCCCUGCCUGCAGGGCGCCCCCUUCCCUCCUUCUUCCCCACCAUGAUGUCUGACCCGCUGGAAUAAAUCCCGAGCCCUGGACCCAUUCCUAACACAGGAGUAUCGGCCCCUUUGUCACGUCCUGCUUGCCCUCUCUCUGUUUUCUUGUUCUUUUUCCCACCCUGUCUGCCCUUCUCCCGCCCCCGUUUCCCAAACUUGCUCCUGAGAGACCAGACCCAGCAGCCCACUGGUGAUCUUGUUUUACAUGAGACAUUUCCAAAAAAGACCAAAAAAUCCUUUCCAGGAAAAUGCCAUUUUUAAAAUUCAGCUCCAGACACCGCGGCAACAUUAGGAAAACAAAGGACUUGGCAGAAAGGUUUUCUGAAUCGGGACUUUCUCUCUAAAAUACCUUUUCCAAAUUGCCUCCAGUGGGAACAACUCUGAGGGUCAGCUCUGGAGCACCCAAUCAAUUUCAGAUAGACUGUGGCUCCUGGUUUUUAUACCAUCUCAGCCUUUCCUGACCUGGGAUCCCCCUGGAACCUUCUCCCAGGCUCAAGCAGGGAGCCCCUCUCCCAAAGGGUCGCCAAAGGAAGUAGCUAUCUCUGCAGGGUCAGGCAAUACUGAUGCUGCUGCCUGCCUGGGACACUCCUCAGCCCCUGUCAUGCCCCCAUCACCAGGCUGGAGGGGCCAGGCUGGGGGUCUGAGAGACAAACUGUGCUUAGUAGGAGCUGUCUUCUCUUAUCAUCCAAGUGAGGGGGACAUACGAUUUCCCCUGGGGCACACAUGGCGGUCUGCAUGUUUCUUUUGCAUGAAUCCGGUAUAAUCGUGUUGAUGUCAUAUAUAUAAUAGGAAUGGCCAUUAUUUAUUAAGCACUUACUAUCGUG
This 14719-nucleotide long non-coding RNA is filed under the name Lynx pardinus (Iberian lynx). Lineage: Eukaryota; Metazoa; Chordata; Mammalia; Carnivora; Felidae. The record is from RNAcentral.